CCUACGGGGGGCAGCAGUGAGGAAUAUUGGUCAAUGGACGAGAGUCUGAACCAGCCAAGUAGCGUGAAGGAUGACUGCCCUAUGGGUUGUAAACUUCUUUUAUAUGGGAAUAAAACGUUCCACGUGUGGGAUUUUGUAUGUACCAUAUGAAUAAGGAUCGGCUAACUCCGUGCCAGCAGCCGCGGUAAUACGGAGGAUCCGAGCGUUAUCCGGAUUUAUUGGGUUUAAAGGGAGCGUAGGUGGAUUGUUAAGUCAGUUGUGAAAGUUUGGGGGUCAACCGUAAAAUUGCAGUUGAAACUGGCAGUCUUGAGUACAGGAGAGGUGGGCGGAAUUCGUGGUGUAGCGGUGAAAUGCUUAGAUAUCACGAAGAACUCCGAUUGCGAAGGCAGUUCACUGGACUGCAACUGACACUGAGGCUCGAAAGUGUGGGUAUCAAACAGGAUUAGAUACCCGUGUAGUC
This 460-nucleotide ribosomal RNA is filed under the name uncultured bacterium. RNAcentral's name for it is "partial 16S ribosomal RNA". It matches the Rfam family "Bacterial small subunit ribosomal RNA", at positions 338 to 795 of the family's 1533-position model. The record is from RNAcentral.